UAAGGGUACCAUUUUUUCUAC
This 21-nucleotide non-coding RNA is filed under the name Caenorhabditis elegans. The record is from RNAcentral. Lineage: Eukaryota; Metazoa; Nematoda; Chromadorea; Rhabditida; Rhabditidae.